UACCUAUUUAUCAAAAUUUUCACGGUUUGUCCCACACUGUGUUCCACUCACGUUUUCCCCCAAUCCAAAAAAUCUAAAAUGAUUUUCCCCCUCUUUCACUCUGUCUCCAGCUGCACUCCACCCUCCACCACCGUUGCACUCACCCCACCGCUACACUGUAGUGUAUCGUCGUCGUCAGCGCUUCACCAUCGGCGUUGUACUUUACUGUUGUCAUCAACGUUCUACCGUCGUCGUCAGUGCGCCGCUUUGUUCCUACGAUUGUCGUUGUCGUUCACUACCCAGUCGUCCGCUGCACUAGUUGUUUUCUGUUCUCAUAUUUUGGUCUUCGUUUUUUUCUUAUUUUCAUUUCAGAUCUUGUCUUCUUCACGCCUCUUUGUUGAGUUCCACCUCCUGCUUCACAAGUUCAGGUUGGACAGGUAAAGUUUUAAAAUUUAAAAUUUUUAUUCAAUUUUAUUGUUUUGUUGCACUUGUGGUCUCUGUUGGGCUGUGUGUUGAUCUGUGAAUAUUGCGUGCGGUGUGAAUGGACAUUAUGGUGAGACUAAAAUUUCACUUUUUUUAAAGUUAAUGGAGAUAUUUUUUGAACUUUUUUAAAUCAGUAUGCACAUUGUUAAUAUGGAUGGACGGUUAAUAUGGACAUUGUUAAUAUGGACUUUUUGUUAAUGUAGAUGUACAAGUUUCUUAUUCACUUUUUCCAUUGAUUAUGUUCAAUUAAUGAUUAUGUAGAAUUUCACACUGAUUAUGUUUUAAUAAUUAAAUACAUUUAGAAGUUUUUUUUAUUUUUUUAUUGUGUUUAAAAGAAAAUGUUGGUGCUGCCGAGAAUAAACUUUUUUCAUUUUUCCAUUUGGUUGUUUAAAAAAAGAUUAAAAGGUGAGGGAUGGUGAGGGAUGUACAAAAUAAAAAGGUGUCGCAGAGAGUAAAAAAUUAUGGGCAACAGAUUUAUAACUUCCACCUAGGAGUCUUUUUUUCUCACUCAACCAUUUGCUUCCGGCACUUUACAAUCUGAACAUGUGAUUGAAAAUCAAAUGCUUCGUGCUGAAUUUAGUAUGUGGAGUCAAAAGUAUGCACACUUGGAGAAUGAGAUAAAGGUUAUAAAGGAAAAACUUAUCUCAAUGGAACGUGACAAAAAUGCUUCCAAUAGCACAACUCAAUCCGAUCACGAGUAUGAUCCAAAGUAGGAUGACCAACCUGUACCUUAAAAUGCAUCCUAGACUGUAAACUUAAUUAUUUGACAUUUUUAUUAUAUACUAAGUAUUUUAAUUAUUUCAUUUAUUUAUUUAUAUUGUUUGUAUUUUUUACAGGUUUUCAUAGAUCACAUCAUUAUGGAAUUCAUUUUAUAUUUUCAUUGACAUUCUUCUAUGUAAUUGAAUUAUUUAACAUUUUGAAUUUUAGUACUUUUAGUUAAAUUUGUAAAGUACAAUUUUAAUUUUAAGUUUUAUUCUAAGUAUUCAUAUCCACUUUGAAUAUUUGAAUGGAUCAAAGACUUUGUUUAAUUAUUUCUAUUAUUUUUUGUAUUGUGGAUGUGUUGUGAAUGAUAACAAUUUGUCUAAAUGUGAUUUGGUC
Molecule: long non-coding RNA, 1560 nt
Filed under: Phaseolus vulgaris (common bean)
Lineage: Eukaryota; Viridiplantae; Streptophyta; Magnoliopsida; Fabales; Fabaceae
Description: long non-coding RNA (PVUL_LNC004581)
Source: RNAcentral